CUCUUUCACUGUUGCUCCACCUCUCAGUGGGCCGUCACCAAGAGGGAGAGGUGGAGGAAGUAUUCAGAUCCUUUACUGAAGUCAAAGUACUAAUACCACACUGUGACAAUACUCCACUACAGGUUGAGCUCAUUUGAACUCCUUUAUAUCCUGUUGGGGAGUUUAAUCUACAGCAAUGCAUCAUGGUCUAUAAGAUCAGCAUAUGUCUGUAGAGUGGCUGUCCUGUGCAGUGGCGUCACACUGGGAGAAAAACGGCCUCUGUUUCCUGUUGGCACCGAGCACCGAUGAUGAUGAUGAUGAUGAUGAUGAUGAUGGAGGUUAACGGCAGGCAGAGCCAGGCACCACGGGCAGCGGCCGGGCUGGACGCCAGCAGCAGGCAGCGGCGAUGCUGAAUCUGACCCAGAAUAAAGAGAGAGGCCGGGGUCAGGCCGGGACACGGCGCUCGGGCCGAUGCCCUCCACAACCUCCGAGCUUGAGUCCGUCUGGGAACGAAGCCAGGAAGCAGAGCUCUGAAUCAGAGAUGGAUGAGCUUCUAUCUGUGGACAUUAAUCAGGUUAUCAGAGUCUGACCACAUGAUGUGAGGGGCUGCUGUCUGCUUCACCACCUGCACAGCCAGUGGUGGAAUCUAACCAAGUGCAUUUACUCAUGUCCUGUAAAAUUUAAAGUACUUGUACGUUACAUGGGGACUUUCUUCUUCUCAGGCCACUUUAUACUUCUACUCCACUACAUCUUAGAAGGAAAAAUCACUACCUUUAUCUGACAGCUUCAGUCACUUUAUAAAUUAAGAUUUUUGCAAUAAAUACAUGAAAAUGUGCAGCUGAAACAAUUAGUUGAUUGACAGAAAAUUAACUGGCAAUUAUUUGAUGGUUGAAGUCAUUUUUCAUGUGAAAACAUUUUAUGGUUCCAGCUUUUCAAAUGUAAAGAUUUACUGCUUUCCUUUUAAUGUUAAUAACUGUAAUGCUGUAGUAAUAAUGUCGAGGUUUUAUGCCAUGGUUGGACAAAAUACACAUUGU
Epinephelus lanceolatus (giant grouper) is the source of this 1013-nucleotide non-coding RNA. The record is from RefSeq and is a predicted model, not a curated record. Lineage: Eukaryota; Metazoa; Chordata; Actinopteri; Perciformes; Serranidae.